Molecule: ribosomal RNA, 497 nt
Filed under: uncultured bacterium
Lineage: Bacteria
Description: partial 16S ribosomal RNA
Rfam family: Bacterial small subunit ribosomal RNA
Source: RNAcentral
GAUGAACGCUGGCGGCGUGCCUAAUACAUGCAAGUCGAGCGAACAGACCAGGAGCUUGCUCCUCUGACGUUAGCGGCGGACGGGUGAGUAACACGUGGAUAACCUCCCUAUACGACUGGGAUAACUUCGGGAAACCGGAGCUAAUACCAGAUCAUAUAUUGAACCGCAUGGUUCAAUAGUGAAAGACGGUUUUGCUGUCACUUAUAGAUGGAUCCGCGCCGCAUUAGCUAGUUGGUAAGGUAACGGCUUACCAAGGCAACGAUGCGUAGCCGACCUGAGAGGGGGAUAGGCCACACUGGAACUGAGACACGGUCCAGACUCCUACGGGAGGCAGCAGUAGGGAAUCGUACGCAAUGGGCGAAAGCCGGACGGAGCAACGCCGCGUGAGGGAUGAAGGUCUGCGGAUAGUAAAACUCUGUUAUUAGGGAAGAACAAAUGUGUAAGUAACGAUGCACGUCUUGACGGUACCUAAUGAGAAAGCCACGGCUAACUACGUG